UCCAUCAUGGUCCAGUGGUUAGGAUUCCUCGCUUUCACCGAGGAGGCCGGGGUUCAAUUCCCCGUGUUGGAG
Molecule: transfer RNA, 72 nt
Filed under: Caulochytrium protostelioides
Lineage: Eukaryota; Fungi; Chytridiomycota; Caulochytriomycetes; Caulochytriales; Caulochytriaceae
Rfam family: tRNA
About the family: Transfer RNA (tRNA) molecules are approximately 80 nucleotides in length. Their secondary structure includes four short double-helical elements and three loops (D, anti-codon, and T loops).
Source: Rfam by way of RNAcentral